GGACCGGUUGAAAAGCGGCAACAAUCCGGGGAGAACCCCCAGUGGGGGAAGGCCGGCCUUCUGGUUCCUUAACUCCCCGUUGAGGCCCCCAAAGCUUUGGGUUGCCAAACAGGCCUUAGAUCCCCUUGGUCGUCCAUCCCGGAAACCCUGGAAUGCUCAGGGUUGGGAGGGUUUCCGCCCUUCAGUGGCUCCCGCUAACCCAUUUAGCUUCCCCCCUGGGGAGUACGGGCCGCCAGGCUGAAACUCAACGGAAUUGCCGGGGGCCCGCACCAGCGGUGGAGCAUGUGUUUAAAUUCGAAGCUAUGCGGAGAACCUUCCCAGGUCUUGACGUCCUAUGCAAAUCUAAGAGUUUCGCCGUUCCCUUCGGGGACAUGGAUACAGCUGGUGCAUGGUUGUCGUCAGCUCGUGUCGUGAGAUGUUGGGUUAAGUCCCGCAACGAGCGCAACCCUUAUUAUCCAGUUGCCAGCAUUAAGUCGGGCACUCUGG
RNAcentral lists this ribosomal RNA (486 nucleotides) under Lactiplantibacillus plantarum. RNAcentral's name for it is "bacterial SSU rRNA". It matches the Rfam family "Bacterial small subunit ribosomal RNA", at positions 675 to 1143 of the family's 1533-position model. Lineage: Bacteria; Bacillati; Bacillota; Bacilli; Lactobacillales; Lactobacillaceae. The record is from RNAcentral.